AUUUUGUAUCUUAUUGUUUAAAAAUUCGUACCCAGCCCACGAUGAAUGCAGCACCUAAUCAUGGAAUGCAAGCUUCAAGUUCAUUAUCAACAAAGCAUAUGUUUAAAAAAUGAGGAUAAUUUAUCUCCUAAACAUAAAUUAGGGAAAUUAGACAGUACAUAAAACAUAAAACAUAGCCUAAAAAUCAAUUUGAAAUCAAAAGUAAAAAAGAAGAAAAACGCUAACCUUGGAGACCGGGAGAGGGAGGGAGGGAGGGAGGAGGGAGGAGGGAGGAGGCAGAGAGGGGAGAGGGAGGAGGGAGGAGGCAGAGACCGGGAGAGGGAGGGAGGGAGGAGGGAGGAGGCGGAGGAGGCGGAGACCGGGAGAGGGAGAGGGCGAUUGGGAGACCAAGAGAGGGAGAGGAGGUGGAGGAGGCGGAAGAGGAGGCUAGGGUUUUUCUGCUGUCGAGCGCAAGUUAAACCCGACAACUUUAGCCGACGAAAUUAUUAUUUCGUCGGCUAAAGCUAAGAAUCUCGUCGGCUAAAUCUUCGAAAUUCGUCGGCUAAACGUUUGAAAUUCGUCGGCUAACCUUUGAAAUUCGUCGGCUAAAGUACUUUUAUACAUUUGGCACAUUGUGAUUGUGAUGAUCAAACUUGAGAAACAGAAAUCCGACCGUCAGAUCUGACCACCAUGACAAAAUACAUGUAUAGGCAAAACUUCAACUUGAUCCGACAAGAAUAAAGGCUCGAUCCGGACGGUCAAUCUCUAAGUCAAACCCCUAAACGCACGGAAAAGGUCGUUCGACCGUUUAAAUUACGUAUUUUGGCCGGACCUUCAACUGAAAAUAGUUUUAAAUCGAUGACACGGAACAAGUCGUAUAAAAAUUUUACGCAAAAUAACCACCGAAGAUAGGGCUACUCAUAGGGGAAAAGAAUGAAAAAUUGCAUUGACCGCAACUAUCGGCACCGAAUAUUUACCGGAAUAGUGUGAUUUUUCAACCGUGGAUGUAUUUCACCAUUCUCGUCAUAUCUAAUUUCACGACUUUUUGCGUUUGAAAGUUUUACGUAUAGUUUGUUUUUGAAACGGAACAUUUACAUAAUACUAGGUAAACAAGUUAUACAACAUUAGUAGGCAUGUUGUGAUUGCGAUGAUCAAACUUGAGAAACAGAAAUCCGACCGUCAGAUCUGACCAUCAUGACAAAAUACAUGUAUGGGAAAAAAUUCAACUUGAUCCGACAAGGUUAAGAGCUCGAUCCGGACGGUCAAUCCCGUAAGUCAAACCCCUAAACGCACGGAAAACGUCAUUCGACCGUCUAAAUUACGUAUUUUGGCCGGACCUCCAACUAAAAAUAGUUUAAAACCGAUGAGACGCAAGAAGUCGUCUAAAAAUUUUAUGGAAAAUAACCACCAAAGAUAGGGCUAUAGUAUGUAAUAGAAAAAUUUUAGGGUUUAGCCGACGAAUACCCUAACGUAUUCGUCGGCUAUAGUGUGUAAUUAAAAAAUUAAAAAAUAACUAAAGCCGACGAAAUAUUAGGUUAUUCGUCGGCUAAAACCAUCUUAGCCGACGAAAUAUAUAC
RNAcentral lists this long non-coding RNA (1556 nucleotides) under Fragaria vesca (wild strawberry). RNAcentral's name for it is "long non-coding RNA (FVES_LNC001643)". Lineage: Eukaryota; Viridiplantae; Streptophyta; Magnoliopsida; Rosales; Rosaceae. The record is from RNAcentral.